UACGUAGGGGGCAAGCGUUGUCCGGAUUUAUUGGGCGUAAAGAGCGUGUAGGCGGUUUGGUAGGUCCGCUGUGAAAACUCGAGGCUCAACCUCGAGACGCCGGUGGAAACCAUCAGACUAGAGUCCGGAAGAGGAGAGUGGAAUUCCUGGUGUAGCGGUGAAAUGCGCAGAUAUCAGGAAGAACACCCGUGGCUAAGGCGGCUCUCUAGUACGGUACUGACGCUGAGACGCGAAAAGCGUGGGGAGCGAACAGG
Molecule: ribosomal RNA, 254 nt
Filed under: uncultured bacterium
Lineage: Bacteria
Description: partial 16S ribosomal RNA
Rfam family: Bacterial small subunit ribosomal RNA
Source: RNAcentral